UGGCUCAGUUGGUAGAGCACAACCUUGCCAAGGUUGGGGUCGCGGGUUCGAGUCCCG
RNAcentral lists this transfer RNA (57 nucleotides) under Chloroflexota bacterium. RNAcentral's name for it is "Chloroflexi bacterium (soil metagenome) tRNA-Gly". It matches the Rfam family "tRNA", at positions 8 to 62 of the family's 71-position model. Rfam says of the family: Transfer RNA (tRNA) molecules are approximately 80 nucleotides in length. Their secondary structure includes four short double-helical elements and three loops (D, anti-codon, and T loops). Lineage: Bacteria; Bacillati; Chloroflexota. The record is from RNAcentral.